AACGAACGCUGGCGGCAGGCUUAACACAUGCAAGUCGAGCGCCCCUCACGGGGAGCGGCAGACGGGUGAGUAACGCGUGGGAAUCUACCCAACUCUACGGAAUAACUCAGGGAAACUUGUGCUAAUACCGUAUACGCCCUUCGGGGGAAAGAUUUAUCGGAGUUUGAUGAGCCCGCGUUGGAUUAGCUAGUUGGUGGGGU
Molecule: ribosomal RNA, 200 nt
Filed under: uncultured bacterium
Lineage: Bacteria
Description: partial 16S ribosomal RNA
Rfam family: Bacterial small subunit ribosomal RNA
Source: RNAcentral